This 31748-nucleotide long non-coding RNA is filed under the name Hordeum vulgare. RNAcentral's name for it is "long non-coding RNA (HVUL_LNC002976)". The record is from RNAcentral. Lineage: Eukaryota; Viridiplantae; Streptophyta; Magnoliopsida; Poales; Poaceae.
CCGCAUCCAGCCAAAUAAGUUACCAGAUUUGCGAAAUUCGAAUCGAAGGGGACGAGAUCUCGUAGCAUAUAGCAUAGGCAUCACUAUCCAAGCGCAGAUCAGUUCAAAAUUGGGUAAUCCAACCGCAGACCACUACGAACAAGCAGAUCUGAUCGGCUACAGCGAGUGAGGCGCUACUAGCAGGACAGGCAACUGAGGGCUCACCCGGAGAUGUAGGUCUUGCCGGCGAGGUGCGCCUCGAGGGCCUUGAGCCCGUCGGCGGAGUGGAGGUCGGAGAAGGUGACGGCCAUCGGAUCCGGCGAGCUCGGGAGCUUGUCGAAUUCGCUGGGCGGCGGCGGCGGCGGGGAGGCUAAAAUCCCAAAACCCUAGAGACCGAGAGGGGAAUGCGGGGCAGCGAGGGCCGGUUAUUUAUACCUGGCGGGCGCGCCGGUGGGCCCCGCGCGGCGCGCGCCCGUGCGAUCUGGCAUCUACGGUGGGGAUAUUCCCAGGGGAAGCUACACGGGCGUCCUGGCCGUUCGAUCGGAUCUCUCACGAUGGACGGUUGAGAUUCGGUCUCGUCAGCGGAUAGAGCCCUCUCUGCCGCUUGCUCAGCUCCCUCGUCGUCUUCUCCGGCGAGCUCCUGCCCAUGGCGUCGCUCGCUGCCCCGGCCUUCCACUCGCUGGCCGCGCAAAUCUCCAGGGCCUCCACCGCGAGGGCGUCUUCGCAGUGCGUGACCGCGCCCGGCCGCCGAGGAGCGAGGGCGCGGCCUCGGGCGGCGGAGACUGCGCAGGCGGCGGCGGCGGAGACGCCGAGGUUCAGAUGGGAUGAACUUGGGACCGGCCUGUCCGAUCCCCAGGAGCAGGCGAUGCGCGGGCUGUCCCCGAAGCUGCCCAACCGGUGCAGGGCGCUGAUGCCGCGCGUCGUGUCGCUGUCCCCCGGCGAUGAGAACCUCGGCGUGGUCCUUGCGUUCUGGGUGAAGGCCAUGAAGCCCAAGAGGGCCGACUGGUUGCUGGUCCUCAAGGAGCUCAAGGCCAUGGAGAGCCCGCUUCUCGCUGAGGUCAGUGAGCAUUACGUUUCAAUUUCAUCAAUCUUGUUGCUAAAAACUUUUGAGGAAAUGGAAAUUUCGAGCUGUUCUAUGCUAUCCUGUGGUCAGGGACUUGGGGGUGCCUGCUGAAGUAACAGAAUCACCUUGGGAGCAAUCAUGCUCAUGUUUAUGAAGCAAUUGAGUUAGCUAUACUUGAGAAACUGAAACGUUCUCUGAAUGUUGCUGUGCUAGGUUGAGAUCGUUGUUGUUUUUUUGGCACCACCAUUCCCCAAGAUUUGUGAGAUUAUUACUAUUAUUAUUUGCUUGGAGGAUGAACAUGCUCUUAGUUUACCCACAUCUUCUUUAGGGAAUUUUGAGUUUGAAUUUCUGAACUUCUAAUCUGGACUCUUUACUGAAAAUUGGAUUAGAAAUGACUGAAUUUCGGAUUUGCACUUAUUUUGCCAGCAAUGUAACCUUGCAAAUGCACUGUGUUGGCUAGGUGCUAGAAUAUGUGCUGCUGGAGGAUUCUUUCGAAGCGAAUGUGCGCGACUACACCAAACUGAUACAAAUCUACGGCAAGCAAAAUCUGUUGCGGGAAGCCGAGGAAGCAUUCCACGCCAUGAAAGCCAGAGGCCUCCCCUGUGAUCAGGUCAUGCUGACUGCACUGGUGGACAUGUACAGCAAGGCCGGGGAUCUCACCCGCGCAAAGGAGACGUUUAAAGAGAUCGUGCUGCUCGGCCUACCGCUCGACAAGCGCGCAUACGGUUCGAUGAUCAUGGCCUACAUCAGAGCAGACAUGCUAGACCAAGCAGAUGAUCUGAUCAAACAGACGGAGGACCAGCAGGUCUUCGCGGGGAAAGAGGUCUACAAGGCUCUGCUGAGAGCAUACUCGUACAGAGGCGAUUCAGAGGGGGCGCAGCGAGUUUUCGAUGCGGUGCAGUUUGCGGGGACGGUGCCGGACACGAAGCUGUGCGCGCUCCUGGUGAACGCCUACUGCCUCUCCAAUCGGAUCGACGAGGCAGUCUGCGUGACCCGAAACAUGAGGAGUGCGGGACUGGAACCGUGCGACAGGUGUGUCGCCUUGAUUCUGGGCGCGUAUGAGAAUGCCGACAGGCUGGAAGGAGCGCUGGAGUUUCUGGCGGAGCUCGAAGAGAAUGGCGUCGUAAUCGGCCAAGAGCCAUCGCAGUUGCUCGCGGCAUGGUUUGGUAGGCUCGGGGUGGUUCAUGAAGUGGAGCAGGUCCUGGAGGAAGUGGGGAAGAGUGGCAAGAGCAAGCAGAGUUCUUCUGUCCUGAAGGAAGGGGUGAAGAGCAGGAUGAGCGUUCACAGUGUUUCAGUUCAGAAGGAAUGGAGAAGAGGAAGCAGGAGCACACACAGCAUUUCAGUCCAGAAGAAAAGGACAACCAACAGGAAGAGCAAACACAAUAGUAGUCCAUCACCUCUGCAACUGAAGUGAAUUUGUAACUCGAGUGCCAUUAGCAUUCAUAUUAUGACAAUAUGCUGUCAAGAAAUCGCAUGCAAAAUCAUGAAGUGUUGAGUGUAUGUAGCUGAAACUCCAGUAGAAGAAAAUUAAUAUUUGACAAAAAAACUGGUAACAGUAAUGUCCAUUUAACCUUCCUGAAGAACACACAAUCUCAAGUACUAAUCAAAAACACCUUAGUUGAAGAAAGACACUGUAGUGCAACAGGUCUACUUACUAUAUGAAGCAUGAACCACAGAACGGUGAAACAGAACAACGGAAGAGUAGGGCUCUUCUGCAUUAUAGACCUCAAUACAUGCUCUUCUGCAUUAUAGUGAACAGCAUCCUCAACAGUGCAUGCUCUACUGCAUUAUAUACCUCAAAAUGUGAUCACCACCACCAUCGGAUGAAAGAUUCAAUAAUUAAGACCCAAUUAGAUCCAUGGUUGUGCAUAAAUUAUACACUAGAUAGAUGUUUAAGUUCAUUAAGCAGCACGAACAGGUUCUAGUCUAAUCGUCGGCCUCGGUCUUGGACUUCUUUUUUUUCUUCUUCCCUUCUGUGGCUGUCUUAGGCUCAACAGACUCUGCAGCAUCACGGUUCUUCUUUUUCUUUUUCUUGGGAGUCUCAUCUUGUUCGGCAUCACCAUUGGCUGCGAUCUCUUGAUCCUGGGGCUCCUCUAGCUUGUGCUUCUUUUUCUUUUUCUUCUUCCCUGUCUCAGGUUCAGCUUCUGCUGCGGCUGUGUUGGCAGGCUUAUCAAGAUCCAUGGCGUCACCAUCAGCCUCGGAUUUGGACUUCUUUUUCUUACUUUUCUUGGCAGAUGUGCCACCGUUCUCCUUAUCUGCGAAAGAAAUGUUCGGAUGAAGGUGUAAAUGACUUGAAAUUAAGUGACUGAGAGAUCUACGUAUAAAGAGAAAUGUCCUUACCCUCCUCUGAGACUGCGUCGGCCAUACCCUCAAUUGCAGCUUUCAUCACAUCAAGGUUCUUGCGUGGUGCAACACCCUUGUCAUAAAAGUCUAAUCUCUCCUCAACUUGUUCACGCAACUUCUCACCAAAAAUGGAGCUACUCAUAUCUGGAAUUCAUAACCUAGUAAGGAAAACAAACAGAAAAGGUAGUCGAGAUGUUUUAACCUUUGCGAACAGUCCUUCAACUGACCUGAAUAACAGUCAAUACGUGAAGCAAUUGAGCAUUUGUUUGCCAGGUAUCUAGCCAUUCUUCCCUUGUUCUUCGUCGAUGCACGACCAAUAAAAGAUGAAUGGAAUAUGAGGCCAUACUUCGGUGUGUUUCCUCGUGUUUUAAGAGCUCUGCAGUAAAAUUAGCAAAUCAAUCACAACAUUUCAGAAGCAUGGAGGAGAAAGUCUGAAUACGUGACAAAACAUUUGAGUACAAGUGCAACUACAAAUAAGAAAGCACAGCUUGGAAAUAGUGUGGGAAUACAUAAGCAGUCCAGUCAGACAAAAUAACCUGAAGAGUGCCUUCUCAGCACCUAGUAUCUGGAGAGUGGAGGCAGGGCAUUUUGCAAGAUUUGAAAGACUGCCAGCAUGAGAGAUUAACCGAGCUCCAACCAUUUCACCAAUCAAUGACGUCAGAUUUGGUGCAAUAUCGUUCAUCUUUGUCACCAGAUAUUCAUAGAGAUUUUUACGGUACUCAGAUAGAUUCAUGACCCUUUGAGCAAACUGUUGGACAUUGAUCAAAUCAACUGGUGAAAGGUCCUGGCCUGAAAAUAAAAAGAAGAUUACGUAAACUAAGCAACCGUGGCAACUAAUGAGAAGCAUACCAAUUGUGGACAUGGUUGUUACCCAUAGAUGCCUUUGCUGCUUCAACAAUUUCUUUUGCCUUGUCCUCAUCUCCAAUCAGAUCUGCUAAAGCUGGAACGUCUUUCUCUGACAAAUCAGAUUUGUUUACUACAAACUUGGCAAGCUUAGCAUACAGGUAGUUGUCAUUCACGAUUUUGACCAGCUCAGGAAAAUGCCAUCCAUACCACUCCCUGCAUCAUGGUUAAGCAACAAUUAAUACACCCAUGCAAUUAACACAAUUACAGUGACAAAUGUUCAAAACUACUUACAGCGUCAACAGGGGUAAAAAGAAAAAAAAAAUAUAAUUACACCCACCGAAAGCAUACAGUGUUCCCCCCCCCCCCCCCAAAAAAAAGCAUACAUUGUAGAAUAUACUGCACAGUUGAUAAGUUAAAAUGAUCAUUCAGUACUAUGGGAUAUAUCUAUAUCUAUACUACUACAUAGUGUACGAGUUUUGAAUUGUAACUAGAGCAUCAAUCCUAGCCAUUGGUCUCCAUUAUCUAACGGUUGAGGCUUGAAGGAUUCGCAGUGAAUAGUAGCACGCAUCUACUUCUGCUGGGUUCUGGAACCAUCGCUUCACAACUCCUGCCUGCUCUGUCAUUUUGCAUUGUCAGGCUGAGACCUAAAUACCAGAGUCCACAGACGCAUGUCUGGUCUAGGAGGAGGAAGGAAAAAACAUAAGUAAACAAUUUAUGGGUCCAUCACAUACAUCUGCCUUUUUUUUCUGGAAAUUUCUGGGUGCCACUAGGCCAGGGGAGUUGCAUCAUAUACCAAGUUUCUACUACAUAAUUUAUGCAUGCGUACAUUUCAUUGUAAAGUGUUGUAUAUCCAUUUUUUUCUUUUACAAAAAUCAUAAAGAUAAUAUUGUUAAGACGUGCAUUGCACGUGCAUACAUACUAGUACUGUAAGAUAGUACAGUGUACACAGAACAUGUCACUGUAAGCCAGACAGUACCGUGACUGGACAUGCAACUAAAAUAAACACAUGAGAUGUAUUUGAUCAUGUGAAUUGAGGAAAUUUGUCAAGACUUCAACACAAUACGCAAUUGAACGCACAUGGUAAAACUAGAGACUUGGGCUUAGGGUAAAUAUAGCAUAUAGACAAAAUAUGUUUGAUGCCACUGAUGCAAUAUAUAUAUAUAUAUAUAUAUAUAUAUAUAUAUAUAUAUAUAUGGUUACAAAAGAAGAGGUCAUACAAACGAAAUUAAUCAAAUUCCUGCUGUUUUUUUAACUCCUGCGAUCAGAAAAUGUGGCAUAGGCAGUAUAUACCGACAGCUAAACUGGAAAAGUAAUGAACAAAUGUCAACUCUAGUACCUAUAUCUAGAACUUUCUCAGGAAUUCUAUGUCGCCAUCAACUUUUCUUUUUGAGAUAAUCCAAGUCUCGUCGCGCGACAGCCAAACCAAAGAACCAGAUACUGGUUAAAUUAAGCAAAUUAAGAAUAAGACGAGGAACCAACCUCACUCUCAUGGAGAAGGAAUUGACAUCCUUAUCAAGUGUAUCCAAUAGAAAGAUCGCUUGAAUCACCAUGUUAUCCACACGAUUCACAUUGAACUUGACCUUUGCCCUGCUAUAGCUAUGCCCCAGACCUAACUGAGCCUUCUCCAGGUCAGAUGGCUGCAAUCAAAAAGAAAUGGAACAAAGUUUACAAACAAGUAUAUAUGAAAUAAGAACAGUGAUGGAAUAAAACCCUUGAAGAACGAUCAACAUGUCAACAACCAAUUUGUGAAACUCCAGGCAAUUCACUGUAUGAUCUAGGUAAACUUAACUAGUAAAAAUGAUGUGUCAAGCAUAAGGUAGUAAUUGUCCAACUCUCUGCACAUAGUUCAUACCACCAAAACAUUAAACUUUUUCCACUGCUGCACAAUCCUCUAAAAUCAAAUAAACCAGCCACAACCCCAGUCAGACCACAAUGUGAUUUAUCCUAAUAAUGCAGCCUACAGCUUUACGACCCAUGUUGAACAGUUCCAUCUUUUACGGAACAAUGUAAAACUUCAAUACUAGACGCAAAUGCAAAAUUCCAUCACCUUGAGUUGUUCAACGAACUGAUCGAAGUGCAGCCGCACCGCACGAAGCAGUUCCUGGAUAUAGUCGUUUGACUCGCAAGGGAUUCCGGUGGCCUCGGUGAUGUGGGACCCGACCUUGGGCUCCAUGACGCCGACCCUGAACUUGGCUUUCUUCCCCUCCUUCACCUUGGGCAGGUUGAGCUCCAGGAAGUUCCUCAGCUCGUCCGUCAUGAUCCCUGAGUCACCACACGCCAUUCGCUUGCCACGGGAGUCAUAAACCAGGGAGACUUGACACGAGCAUUCCAUCGGGAGAGGAGGCGGGGGACACGAUACCUUCGGAGAUGGCGUUGCACUGGUUGAGGGCGUCGACGGCGGAGAGGAAGGGGGGUGAAGCCGGCGAGCUUGACAGCCUUGCUGAACCGCUUGAGGUCCAGCACGGUGGAGCGGACGGCGUCCACGCUCUGCCCGAUCUCGUCGAUGCCGUAGGCGUGGAAUAGCGCGUAUCCCGACGCCGACUCGAAGAGCAGGUAGAGCGCCAUCUCGCCCGCGCGCUUCGCCGGCGGCGGCCGAGGGGUUUAGGGGCGGAGGCUGGGAAGAGGCUAGGCUAGGGUUUAGGAGUGGGCUUCGCCGGGGCCUUAGAGCAACUCUAUCAAACCCCGCAUCCCUCCCCAACCCGCAAAAUAACCGCCAAAGUGCGGGUCGGAACCGAAAAACCUGCCCGAUCACACUCCGCAUCCCGUCCCGGCCCACAAAUAUAUUUGCGGGGCGCGACAAAACUUCUCCCCCAACCUCUAGUUUCACUGGCCGGGAGGCCGACCCAAGCUCAGCCUCUAUCCGCAGCAAGAUUUGAUGGGAGGGACAUUUCCGCGCGGCCUCCCCCCCCCCCCCCCGCACCCGCCACCACCAUUGCCUCGCCACCGCACGCUCCGGUGCAUCCUCCGCGGUCGUCCCUCGCCGCCAUGGACGCCUCCUUGCUGCCCCCCGUCACCUUUGAGAUCGCGCACGCUCCUUCCCCUCGGGCGGAUCUCGACGCCGGCCAUGUUGGGCCCGCCGUCGCUCAAGCUAGCGCCGCGCCUGCCCGCAAGCGGCAGGGCAACGUGGUCGUGCCGGGCGGAAAUCCGACAGCCCCCGCCGCGAAGGCUCGCGCUCCGGGGCGCUAACGCUGUUGUGCGAUCUCGGCCGGCGGCGGAGAAGGUCACCAAGGCCGCGGGCGUCAAGAGGAAGAGGAUUCAGGCUCCUUCAUCCUCUCACUCCAUCCCGGAAAGAGAUGCUCCGGUGAUGCCAUCCAACGGUGUCGCUCCCCCCGCAAGCGAGGUGUUCGACGAAAUGGUUGGAAGGUGUGUGUCUUCGGUCAUGGUCAUUUCCUUUUGUUUUCGCCAUUUGUUGCGAUAGCUUCUGACUUGUCAAUCGUUCAAUAUAGCCAAAGAUCGAAGAACUACACGAUCUUGGAAGAUCAAGCUUUGAUCCAAGCAUGGAGUGCGGUGUCUCCUGAUGUAUGCACGGAUACUUCUCAAACCGCCAAGAGAUAUUGGCAAAGGAUCGAAGAUCAAUACUUCCGCGUUAUGGCAAAGUAUCUCAAUAGGACUCCACGCACAUUUCGAUCACUUGAAGGGCGUUGGGAGAAUAUCAAGCCUAUGUGCAGCCGUUGGGCAGCUUGCUUGGAGCAAGUACGCAAUGUUCAAGUUGUGCGUAAUCAUAUUUGCAUCAUGAGAAUUGAUUACAUCACUUUGUUCACAUUGUGUAGGACAAGAUUGCCCAACAUAGAUACAAAGACAUGGAAGCUUCUGAAGGCAAAUUCUUCAAACUAGAGCAUUGUUGGGAGUUGCUCCAAAAGUGCGAGAAGUGGAAGUUGAUUGACAAAGAAUCUUUGUUGCUCGCCGGACAGAACAAGAUCAUGUCAAUGAACCGCGAUGACAUGGACGACCUCACCAAAACAUGGCAUGAUAUGGCAAGGAGAGAGAUCUUGAAGAGAAGAAUGGUCUUCUCUGCUCCAUAUGGUGGCAAUGCCGAUGAACUUCAAGAUGGACUCGAUGGCGCGGAGUGAAGAUCGACCAAGAUGAUGCAAGACCCUCUUUUGCGUUUAUCGUACUGAACUUGACUUCUAUUUGCGCGUAAAACUGUGUUAUGUUUGUUUGAAUUUGAACUUAUUUGUGAGAACUUAUGUCAAAUGCGAGAAUUGAGCGUUUUCUGCUUUCGGGGCGACGCGGCCGUGUUCGAACAGACCCCGCAAAAGCCGACCCGUAUAAAAGCAUAUUCGGUGAAUAUACUUUUAUACGGGUCCGUUUGGGGGGUCUGCAUCCAUGCCAGCCCGCGUCGACCCGCAAAAGGGGUUUUACGCGAACUGCAAACGCGUUUUGCGGGCCGGCAUUAUGCGGGAUCUGCUAGAGUUGCUCUUAGAGCUAGCACCCUCAAACCCUUAAAUCCUUAAAAAUAACUGUUUUUUACAGUUUACGAGUAAAAGCCGUGUAGACUAGAACCCCUUAACCCUCAAAAAAAAUUAAGGAUCCGACCUUCAAAUCCUCUUCCAACCUGUACAAGUGAGGAUUGGGGAGCAAAACCUAACCCUCACUUGCGAGCCAUCCGAGCGCGGGAGGGAAAUUUCCCGUCCCCAACUCCCGCCCGCACCCACCCGAGCCGUCGUCGCCGUCCCGUCCCCCGGCCCCCUCCCCUCCACCUCCCCAGCCACCACCGCCAUCCCGCCCUCCGGCCACCUCUCCUCCCGUCCGAGCCCGCCCUGCCCCGCCCACCAGCCGCCGCCCGUAGGAGGCCGGCUGCCGCGCCCGCCCCACGCCUCCCCUCGACCUCCCCGGUCGCCGCCCGCCCUCCGCCCCGCAGCAGGCCGGCCGCCUCUCAUCCACCUCCUCCCGCCCGCGCUCGCCCCGCCCCGCCCCCCAGCCGCCGCCCGCCCCCCCUGGUCGCCCUCCGCCUCCCGCCUUCUGCCCUCCGCCUUCCGCCCUCGCGCCGCCCCGAGCUUUCCUCGCCGACCCGCAGGUAUGCAUUUUUUUUCUUUUUUGUUAAUUUUUUCCUUUUGAUUCAUUGUUGGCACUCACAAUUUUUUGUUUUGUGUUGUGUAGAUGGAGGCGUUGUCCGAUGAUUUUGGUUGGUCGUCAUCGGACGAUUCGGACAUUGAGGACUUGCUUCAAGAUGAUGACGUCGAGAUGAUGGGCCUCCUCCUCGACGUGCAAGAGUUUGAAGAUUGCGCGAAGCUGAUGGAUCAGAGGAGAGGGUCGAAGAUGGGGCGAGUCACCAUCUACCGGAACUGCGGUCUCAGACACGAGCAUUUGAUGCAAGACUACUUUGCGGAGGUACCAACAUACCCACCUCGCCUGUUCCGGAGAAGGUAUCGAAUGCGCCGUAGUUUGUUUGUGAAGAUUGUCACCGAUUGUGAGGCCGCCUCAGAUUACUUCAAGCGUCGUAGAUCCACCGCCGGUAUCAUGGGGUUUAGUGGGUACCAAAAGAUAUCGGCUACAAAGUGGGUGCUCGCCUAUGGCAUACCCGCGGACUAUACCGACGAGUAUCUUCGCAUUGGACAAGAUACAACCACGGCGUCCGUUCAUAGGUUUGCAAAAUUGGUCAUCCGGUUGUAUGGUGAUGAGUAUCUUCGGGCACCCAACGAGGAAGAUACAAAGAGAUUGAUGGAGAUGAAUGAAAAAAGGGGAUGGCCGGGGAUGCUUGGUAGUCUUGAUUGCAUGCAUUGGACAUGGAAAAAUUGUCCAAAGGCAUGGCAAGGAAUGUAUUGUGGUAAAAGUCGUGAUGCUACCAUUGUGCUUGAGGUCGUGGCAUCGGAGGACACAUGGAUUUGGCAUGCAUUUUUUGGUUUGCCGGGAACACUCAAUGAUAUCAAUGUGCUCAAUAGAUCUCCUUUGUUCAAAAGAUUAGUUUGUGGGGAUGCUCCAACUUGCAACUACAAAAUCAUGGGCAAUGAGUACUCAAUGUGAUACUAUCUCACCGAUGGAAUUUACCCCGAUUGGGCAACUCUUGCGAAGUCCAUCAAGGAGAAAAAUGGGGUGCCCUUAAGCAGAAAAGAGGCUCAUGUCACCAAGGCACAAGAGAAUACCAUCCUAUCAUACUACAUCAUAGUCAUCUCAAAAUCUAUGUUGACAAUCAAGACAAACCAUUAUAAGCUCUCAGCUAGUUAAGCAUGGCAUCAGAAACUAUUAUCUCUAAGUUGUCAUCAUAAACAUGGUUCUCUCACAACAAAGCUAAAUCUGGGUCGACAAGCUAGUCAUAUUUACAAAAACAAAAUAGAUAGAGUUCAUACCAGCUUUUCAGUCUCAGUCACUUCAUCAUAUAUCAUCAUUCUUGCCUUUCAUUUGCACGAUCGAACGAUGUGAACAAUAAUAAGCGCAUUGGACUAAGCUGAAUCUGCAGGCAAACACAAAAGAGAAGACAAAGUAAUAUGGCUCUUUGAAAGCUAAACAGGUAAGCAUGCAAGAAUCAAUAAACAUUAUAACCAAUAUCUUCUACCUUGACCCAAAGAAAAAGAAAACUAUUUACACGGGAAAACUCCCAACAAGCAAAAGAAGAAAGAAAAAACUUUUUGGGUUUUCUCAAAAGGACACAAAACAAGAAAACAAAAAUAAACUAGCAUGGAUAAUACAGUGGCAAAGCGUAAACAUCGGCUAACAAAGUUAAAGCAUAAGCAUGAAUGUAAAGUCGGUGAGAACACGUACUCCCCCAAGCUUAGGCUUUUGGCCUAGCUUGGUCUACUCCCAUGGUGGGAAAUCACCAGCUCCAGGAUACUCUGGAGCAGACUGUGGAUGCACUGCUAUGUGAGCUCCUCUGGCUUCCACUGAUAAAUUGGCGUCUGGUACUCGACUGGCGGCUCGGGCACGGGCGCGUGUGGUUGGGCCAAGCCCCAAUAUGCGUAGAUGUCCGAGAGCAUAAUAGUGUACCUGCCUGCAUGAAGAUCGAACAAAGAAGGAGCAGGCAAAUUAAUGGUCUCUCGAGUACCCUGACUAAAUACCAGGUUAUAAAUCAUCCGUCUGCUAGCAUCUCUAUCCAGAAAAUCAUGGCGAACCAUGUUGUCAUAAUCCAGAUAUUUCUCAGGGAGAAGCAUCUCUCCUUCCUCUCCCAGUCUAAUGGGUAUCUCAAAGUGUCUGGCAAGACGGGUAGCAUAGAUACCUCCAUAGACAACACCUUUAGAAUGGUUCAGGUUCAACUGUUGAGCUACUAUAGCACCCAAGCUAUAAGUAUUAUCGUUAUAUAGGCCUUCGUGCAAAACCGCAAGGUCUGGAGAACUAAGUGAUCCAGCCUCCCCACGGCCAAUCAAACAUUUUCCCACAAAUAGUGAGAAGUACUGAAGCACAGGAAAAUGUAUGCUAGCAAUUCUAGCACGAGACACUCCUCUCUCCUCUCCAACAGCAGUAGAACCAAUGAAAUCCUCCAAGUCCCGUGGACGAGGGUCACGGAUAUCCCCAACAUAAGGUAAUUUGCAUACAUUGCAAAAAUCCUGCAGCGUCAUGCACUGGGGGACAUCGUAUAUCAUGAACUCAACAAUGUGAGGAUUCUUCCUCGGAUAAAAGUUGAAGCUUUGAGCGAAAAUAUUGGUGAGGAGGAGGUAUUGUGAGCACUUAUCUUCAACGAACACAGUAAGACCUACGUUCUCCACCAAGUAAUAAAAGUCUUCAUAAAGUCCGGCGACGCGCAAAAAUUCAUCACUUGGCCACUCGCACGCUCGAACUUCUAUGACUCGAGGGACUACGUACUUGGGGUGGUUCUUCUCAUCCUCCUUGGGGUUACGGCUUAAAGAGCCUCUCAAGAACCUCCUCAUCUUUUCCUUUUUCUAGCUCUAAAUUUUUUUGAAAUUUUUAGAGACUUCGAAAGAAAAGUGAAUAAAGAUUAAUCCAACUUGUAGAAACUACUCCUACUAGUGCCUAGAGACCGUAUCACAUGCUAAAACUACUUGGGACCAGCUAAAAUCAACAUUUCUAGCUCAAGAACAGGGUCACCAAGGUAGCAAUAAUACACGAAGGAUAAAGCACUAGAGCAAAAACUAAUUGGAGCAAUGGAGGAGUCACUUACCAAGGAGUAAUUUCUGCAAAAUAGUUCAGAGAAUGGUGCUUUGAGCAAGGAGAUCGAAAAUCACAGCCAAAUGAGCAAGAACACGAGUUUGAGUUGCGAAACAAUUUUUUCUGGAGGUGGAAGAAGAGGCUGAGAGCUGGAAUGAGUGGAGGGGGUGCUUGUGGGCCCCACAAGCUUGCACUCCGCCACCAGGGGGUACGUGGCGGUGGCAGGGCUUGUGGCCCACUGGUCUGGCCCCCAGGCCCAGAAAUUUUCAAAAAUUCCAGAAAAAAUCAUACUAAAUUUUCAAGACCAUCGGAGAACUUUUAUUUUCGAGGUAUUUUUCUCCGGGACGCUAAGACAGAAAACAGGAAAAACUAAACUAAUUCUAUCAUUUUUCUUCGAAGCAAAAGAAAAUGAAAGCUUAAAACAGAGGUAUGUGACUCUUUGAUUCAUCCGUUUCAUGGUCAUCGGAAGAAAUCCGUCGAUGGGAUUGAUCAAGUCCUCAUGACAAAACCUUCUCGAAUCUCAAGAGAGAACGGAGAAUUUUCGAAUAGCCACUAAGUCACCUCAAUGGGGAUAUGUAUCUCCCCAACUAGCAAAUAAUACUUCAUCUUGACACGAGGAAUAGGGCAUUCAAAGCUCCCAAUGAGAAUCGAUGAAGUCUUUUCGAUAGCAUUGAUGCAACGUACUUGAUAUCGUUUCUUCAGAAAGUGCACGGUGUGCUCAUUACCGUUAACAUGGAAAGUGACAUUGCCUUUGUUGCAAUCUAUAACAGCCCCUGCCAUGUUUAAAAAGGGUCUUCCGAGGAUGACGGCCAUGGCAUCGUCCUCGGGAAUAUCCAAGAUAACAAAGUCUGUUAAGAUAGUGGUGUUAGCAACCACAACACGCACAUCCUCGCAAAUGCCGAUAGGGAAAGCAGUUGAUUUGUCGGCCAUUUGCAGAGAAAUUUCAGUGGGUGUCAACUUAUCCAAUUCAAGUCUACGAUAAAGAGAGAGCGGCAUAACACUAACACCGGCUCCAAGGUCACAUAAGGCAGUUCUUACGUAGUUUCCUUUAAUGGAUCAAGGUAUAGUGGGCACUCCGGGAUCACAAAGUUUCUUAGGAGUUCCACCUUUGAAAGUGUAAUUGGCAAGCAUGGUGGAGAUCUCAAGAUCUGGUAUCUUCUGUUUAUUAGUCACGAUAUCUUUCAUGUACUUGGCAUAUGGAGACAUCUUGAGCAUAUCAGUUAACCGCAUCUGUAGAAAGAUGGGUCUUAUCAUCUCAACGAAGCGCUCAAAAUCCUCAUCAUCCUUUUUCUUGGAUGGUUUAGGAGGAAAGGGCAUAGGUAUCUGAACCCAUGGCUCUCUUUCUUUACCAUGCUUCCUAGCAGUGAAGUCAUCCUUAUCGUAUUUCUUAGGUUGUGGGUUAUCAUGAUUAACCGUAGGUUCAAUCUCCACAUCCUCAUCAUUGCUAGGUUGAGCAUUAUUAUGAACAUCACUGUCCAUAUUGCCACCAGGUUCAUGUUCAUCACCAGAUUGUGUUUCUGCAUCAGACGCAGAAAUAUCAUUAGGUUCUUCCGGUGUGAAAGUAUUUGGUGAACUGGCAUGUAGGUUUCUAUCAUCCUUCUUCUUAUCCUUAGGAUGACUGGGUGUAUCAGCAUUGAUUCCUUGAGGAUCUUGAUCAAUUCUCUUAGGAUGACCUUCAGGAUACAAAGGUUCCUGAGUCAUUUUGCCUCCUCUAGUAAUGACUCUGACAGAGUUGUCAUUUAAUUCAUUGAGCAAGUCAUUCUGAGCUUUAAGUACUUGUUCUACCUGAGUAGUAAUCAUAGAGGCAUGUUUACUCACAAGCUUCAGAUCAUUGACAUUUCUGUCUACACAAGCACUUAAAUGGCUAAGCAUACGAGUACUUUGUUCCAAAUGUCUGCUAACAUAAUCAUUGAAACUCUGUUGUUUGGCAACAAAGUUGUCAAAUUCAUCAAAGCAUAGGCUAGCAGGUUUGUCAAAAGGAAUAUCACUCUCAUCAAACCUACGCAGAGAAUUCACUUCUACUACCUGUAUCGGGUUAUCGAUACCAUGGAUCUCUUCGAUAGGUGGUAGAUUUUUGACAUCUUCAGAUCUAAUGCCUUUCUCUUGCAUAGAUUUCUUGGCUUCUUGCAUAUCUUCGGGACUGAGGAAUAGAAUACCUCUUUUCUUAGGAGUUGGCUUAGGAGGUGGUUCGGGAAUAGUCCAAGCAUUAUCGUUGAUCAAGAUGUUAUUCAGUAGAGUCUCAGCUUGUUCUACAGUUCGUUCCCUAAAAACACAACCAGCACAACUAUCUAGGUGGUCUCUAGAGGCAUCGGUAAGUCCGUUAUAGAGGAUAUCAAGUAUCUCGUUCUUCUUAAGAGGGUGAUCAGGAAAGCAUUUUGUAGCUGGACGAGCCUCCCCCAAGCUUGUGGAAGACUCUCUUCUUGGAGUUGAGCAAAGUUGUAUAUUUCCUGCAAGGGAGCUUGCUUCUUAUGGACAGGGAAAUAUUUCUCACAGAAGUAAUAGACCAUAUCCUGUGGACUACUCACACAUCCAGGAGCAAGAGAGGUGAACCAGGCUUUAGCAUCAUCCUUUAGAGAGAAAGGAAACAACUUCAGGAUAUAGUAGUGGCGGAUCUUCUCCUCAUUAGUGAAAAGGGUGGCUAUAUUGUGUAGUUUGGCAAGAUGGGCUACGACCGUCUCAGACUCAUAACCCUGAAAAGGAUCAGAUUCGACUAGAGAGAUUAUCUCAGAAUCGACAGAGAAUUCAUAAUCCUUAUCGGUGAUAAAGAUAGGUGAAGUGGCAAACUUCGGGUCGUAUUUCAUCCUAACUUUCAGAGAUUUUUCCUUCCACUUGAGAAGUAAUUUCUCAGCGUCAUAAGUGCGGAGCUAGAUGGCAGUUCCUUACCUCCCCUCGUAGUUGAGGGCAAGACUUUGGUUUUUGGAUCCUUCACAUUCUUCAUAGUGAUCAACAGAUAUAAAUCCCAAGUAACUCAGAGAAUAUAGCGAUACCUCCCCGGCAACGGUGCCAGAAAAAUGAUGACUCCGUAACAGCAGACCUUCCCUUGCAACGGCACCAAAAGAAUGCUGCUACCACUCUCCGGCAAUCAAAACUAGAAGAAUGUUGUUGACGGCCCACCAGCGCGUGGGAUCGUAGCAGUUUUUGAGGGUAGAGUAUUCGACCCAAAUUUGUUGGUACGCCUAUAGGAGGUGAGAGGAUACUCUCAAGUAUUAGCAGCUGAAUAUGUCAGAUUCAACCACACCUGAAAGAUUAGUAUCUGCAAAUAAAGUAGUAACAACAAAGUAGCGAGUAACGACAGUGGCAAGGAACAACGGUAGUGACAAUAGUAGCAAGUAGCAAUAGUAGCAAGCGAUAGUAGUAGCAACAGUAGCAGUAGAGCAAGACAAGUAACAACAGCAGUAGGACAAACUCGUAGGCAAUGGGUCGGUGAUUUGUUUGGAUGAUAUUCAUCAUGCAACAGUUAUAACACGGAGAGAUAUGUGGCUAGCUCCCGUUCGUCAAUGUGAUGUAGGCAUGCAUUCCGUGUGUCGUCAUACAUGCUUAGGGAAAAGAACUUGCAUGACACCUAUUGUCCAUCCCUCCCGUGGCAGCGGGGUCCAAAAGGAAACUACGGGAUAUUAAGGUUCUCCUUUUAAUAAAGAACCGGACCAACGCAUUAGCACUUGGUGAACACAUGAACUCCUCAAACUAUGGUCAUCACCGGGAGUGGUUCCGGUUAUUGUCACUCCGGGGUUGCCGGAUCAUAACACACAGUAGGUAACUACAACUUGUAAGAUCAGAUCUAAAACACACAUAUAUUGGUGACAACAUAAUAAUUUCAGAUCUGAAAUCAUGGCACUCGGGCCAUAGUGACAAGCAUUAAGCAUGGCAAAGUAGUAGCAACAUCAAUCUCAGAACAUAGUGGAUACUAGGGAUCAAGCCCCAUCAAAACUAACUCGAUUACAUGAUAGAUCUCAUCCUACUCAUCACCGCCCAGCGAGCCUACGAAUAGAUUACUCACGAACGACGAAGAGCUUCAUGGAAUUGGAGAAGGAAGAAGGUUGAUGAUGACGAUGGCGACGGUUUCCCCUCUCUGGAGCCCAAAACGGACUCCAGAUCUGCCCUCCAGAUGAAGAACACGAUGUGGCGGCGCCUCCGUAUCGUAAACGCGAUGAAAUCUUCUCUUUUGAUUUUUUCUGGGACGAAAGUGAACUUAUAGAUCUGAGAUUGGGGGUGGCAGAGCCGUGUUGGCCCCACAAGCUUGCCCACCGCCACCAGGGGGGUGGUGGCGGUGGCAGGGCUUGUGGCCCACUGGCCCACCCCCUCAGGUGGAUCUAAGCGCAUGUAUUUUUCAUAUUUUCCAAAAAUGUUCCCCGUAAAUUUUCAGGACGUUUGGAGAACUUUGAUUUCUGCACAAAAAUAACACCAAGGUAAUUCUGCUGAAAACAGCGUCAGUCCAGGUUAGUUCCAUUCAAAUCAUGCAAAUUAGAGUCCAAAACAAGGGCAAAAGAGUUUGGAAAAGUAGAUACGAUGGAGAUGUAUCAACCAACUCCAUCCCGCGGCCCAGCGCAGCGCCCCUUCGGCCCACCUCGCACCCCUAGCCGAGCCGGCCCAGCUCCGCCCCCCUCCAGAUUAGGCCCAAAAGGCCCAAGGUGAGCCUCCAGUUGCCCCUCUCCCUCGCCCUAGGCGCAUUUUACUAUCCCGCGCCAUACUGUGAUUUCACCCAUUGUAGUUUCGACCCACUGUAUUUUUUUUAGCACCGACGAUUUUAUUUAGUUUCAGAAAAAGCAUUGAUUUUCAAACGCCCAUAAAACUUUAACCCUGAGUCGGAUCGCAACAAGUUAUAUAUGUAACUUCGCUAGAAUUUUGCGUAGAUUAAUAAUUUCCAUCUCUCAUGCAUGUUUAAGGCUGUUAGCUGUGCUGUUUGCAUCGGUUUACAUGUUGACGUGAUUGAAACGGUUUAUGUCGUAAUUAAUUAACCGUAGCUCCGUUGGAGAUGAGCUAUAUAUGUAAAUGGACUAGAACAACAUGUAGUUUCACGUGAACCAAUUUGCUUUGCUCUUUAACAAACAUAAAAUGUGAUUAGGACAAUUCUGGACAUAUUUAGAAUUUAACGAGUGGGGUCAGUUCGGAGACGCUAUAUGUCGUUUCCGACCUCAUUUAAAAUGCCUAGAUAGGUAGUUUAAUUUGUGUUUCACCUCCUGCCAUGUUUAACAACAUUUUAAUAUUUCCAUGUUAAUAAAUGGAAGUGAACUAAAUAAUUAAAUGUGGAGUUCCGUCAAUAUGCAACUCGUUGCAUAUUGAGCUUCACUUAAUGUGUAGUGUUUGCGUGAUGUGAACUGCCAUGCCUUGCAUAUUCGAAACUGAUCAUCCAUCAUUUGUGUUGUGCAUCAAAUCGUGCAUGUGCCGUGGUGUAUAUUGCGUGUUGAUUCUGUUUCUGGUUUGCUUCGUCUCGAUAGAGUUCCGCAAGCGUGUCGGAAUGUGAGGAACCGUUCGACUACGUCGAUUCAUCUGCUUCACGGAGUCGUUCUUCUUCCAAGCAGGAUCUUAGGCAAGAUGAUCAUUUCCCUAGAUACCAUUACUAUCAUUGCCAUGCUAGUUGUAUCGUUUCUUUCAUUAUGUCUCGAUGUCUACUACCUGUUUAAUAUGCCUCCCAACAUUGCCAUGAAAACCUUCAACCUGUCCACAACCUAGCAAACAACUGAUUGGCUAUGUUACCGCUUGCUUAACCACUAGAUAGCGUUGCUAGUUGCAGGUGCAGUUGCUUCCAUGUGAUAACAUGGGUUCCUUGUUAUAUCACCAUAUUAAAUUCUAUUUACUUUAAUGCACCUAUAUACUUGGUAAAAGCUGGAAGGCUCAACCUUUCUAGCCUGGUGUUUUGUUCCACCUUUGUCGCCUUAGUUUCGGCUACCGCUGUUAUAUUCCAUAAAUGAGAACUCCUAGCAUGCUUGGGGUUGUUAUGGGGACCCUCUAGAUUCUCGUUUUGGAAUAAAGCUCGUCUGACAAGGCCCAACAUUUAUACUAUAUUUGCCCAACAUAAUAAUUCUGUUAAUACUGAAAAACAUAGGGCGUCAUGAACCCGAGGAGUAAUUCAGCAUAAUACAGGGAGGGCCAGUGCUGAUGGUGCUGGUCCAAAACAGAGCAUCGUGCGGGCCAACCCAGGGCAACUCGGGUGAUGUAUAUCAGGUCAUCGUAUGCUUCUCUUGUCCGUCGUGUCCUGAGAACGAGAUAUGCGGCUCCUAUCGGGAUUGUCGACAUGCCGGGUGGCCUUGCUGGACUUGUUUUACCUUUCUUAAGCGUCCUGUGCGAGGGAUUCCGAUGAUGCUUUCGGUUAUCUGGAGGUUGAGGUUUUCCAAUAGGAACCCAAGGAGAUCACGGGUUUCCUUGAUCGAGGUCAUUCUGUCGCAGCGUGUGGUAGUUUGUGAUUGACUAGGUGGAGCACCCCUGCAGGGUUAAAUAUUUCCAAAAGUCAUGCCCGCGGUUAUGUGGCAACGUGGAAACUUUGUUUAACAUUCGUUCUAGAUAACUUGAAGUAAACUUAAUUAAAAACUUGCCAACUGAGUGCGUAACCGUGAUUGUCUCUUUAGUGAGCUCCUUCUCCGAUCGAGGACAAGGUGGGGUUAAGUCUGACGUAAGUAGGUGUUCAGGAUCAUUCAUUUGAUCAUCAGUAGCUCACGUCCGCUAUGCGUAGUUCAUCCCCCUCUUUCUUUAUUGUACUCGUAAGUUACCACCUGAAAUAAAUGCUUAGUCGUUUGCUGCAGCCUCACCACUUAACCAUACCUCACCCAUUAAGCUUGCAUGCNNNNNNNNNNNNNNNNNNNNNNNNNNNNNNNNNNNNNNNNNNNNNNNNNNNNNNNNNNNNNNNNNNNNNNNNNNNNNNNNNNNNNNNNNNNNNNNNNNNNCCAUCAUCGUGUCUCCGUGAAGUCGUCACGCCAACUACUACUAUCACUACUACUAUAGCUAACCGUUAGCAAUGAAGUAAAAGUAGUAAGCACAUGGCGUUGCAUCUCAUACAAUAAAUUAAGAAAACUCCUAUGGCUCCUGUCGGUUGUCAUACUCAUCCACAUGCAAGUCGUGAAACCUAUUACAAUAACAUGAUCAUCUCAUACAUCAUACAUGCAACAUCACAACUUUGGCCAUAUCACAUCACAUGUCAAACCCUGCAAAAACAAGUUAGACGUCCUCUAAUUGUUGUUGAAUGUUUUACGUGGCUGAUUUGGGUUUCUAGCAAGAACGCCUUCUUACCUACGUGACAGCCACAACGAUGAUAUGACAAAGCUAUUUACCCUUCAUAAGGACCCUUUUCAUCAAAUCCAAUCCAACUAGAGUAGGAGAGACAGACACCCGCUAGCCACCUUUUAUGCACGGUGUGCAUGUCUGUCGGUGGAACCAGUCUCACGUAAGCGUACGUGUAAGGUCGGUCCGGGCCACUUCAUCCCAAUACCGCCGGAAAAUAAUAAGACUAGUAGCGGAAAGAAAAUUGACAAGUCAUCGCCCACAACUUUUGUGUUCUACUCGUGCAUAGAGUGGCUCACUUCAUCCCAGUAAAGACUACAUACUCCACUCAGAAGCUAAUAAGGCUAUACCUCGCCCGUAUUGUGUGCUUACACGUGAUACCUAAGACUAUUGUACCUGAUAGAGGCACCCAAUUUACUUCAAGAUCUUGGGNNNNNNNNNNNNNNNNNNNNNNNNNNNNNNNNNNNNNNNNNNNNNNNNNNNNNNNNNNNNNNNNNNNNNNNNNNNNNNNNNNNNNNNNNNNNNNNNNNNNUUCGCGGCCAGCCCUCUCCUCGCUCCUAUCGACGUCGGCGACCAUCGUGUGCUUCUGGCGCUGGUGAAGCCUUCGAACCUGACAGGGGGACCCCCCUUGUCAGUGUCUCCCCCUCCUCUGAAACGUUUUCGAGGAAAACGUAUUCUCUCUGAAGUUGUUUUCCUUUCGGGGAAACGUCUUUCUAUUCGGGGGCUUUGACUUAUCUCAAGCUAGCCCCUCUUUCUAUUAUUCUUAUUAUUGAUUAGUCCCUGAAACUGUUUUAGCUAUAACUUUUGAUCCACAACUCCUUUUCGGUGAUUCUUUUUGCAAAAUGAUCCUUAUAAUGCCUAGUUUAUUUUAAGAUUUUUCUAAAGAUAUUUUGGAGCCAGUAGCUAGGCAGUGCCACUUACGUCAUUGUUUGCUUUAUACCGUAGAUUCCGACAGAGGGAAGGUGUGUCUCAUACUAGGUACCUCGACAUCACUCUGCUGGGACAGAGAUGACGCCAAACAACGAAAAGCACGUAUGCAAAGCUGGAGGGUGCAUGUAGUGGAUCGAAACCGAUGCCACCUACACUCACAAGAUCAACAGUUAGCGAUAAGAUAAAAAAUUAUAUGCAUGCUAUGCAGCAAUCAAGUGCAGCAAACCGACUAGACUUUAGACUAGCGAUUCUAAUGCUCGUGCGGGCUAGGGCGUCCUAUAGCCAGACCUUCUCUGAUACCAACGAUGUGGCACCUCGACUGAGAGAGAGAUCGAAACACCCCAUACUUCCAUCCCAGAGGUUAAGUCUUGUGGAAUACGNNNNNNNNNNNNNNNNNNNNNNNNNNNNNNNNNNNNNNNNNNNNNNNNNNNNNNNNNNNNNNNNNNNNNNNNNNNNNNNNNNNNNNNNNNNNNNNNNNNNCUCCAACGCCUCUGCAACCUCCGUGUGUCCUCCAUCGCUUGUGCAUGCCGCGAAAGCCAUCGCCAUGCACCGAGGUGCUCAGAGCGCAUUUUGUGCCGCCGCAGCGCAUAGCGAGAGCCGUGUCGUCGCCGCGAUCCCUCCGUAGAUGGCGAGCCUGUCUCUGGUCAAAAAUGAGACCCUCAUGAUAGUUAGGUACGACCUGCACCACCUAAUCGCCUGCCCUAGCCCCUGCUUCAUCGGAAUCGCUCGCCAGAGUAAAUGCCGAAGCUCCUCACACGUCGCCUAUAUAUAGAGCCUCUUCCCCGAGAUUCGGAGUUCAUCCCGCUCCUCUCCACACCCCUGCUUCACUCCACAACACUACCCGAUCGAGGAAGGAGUCCUCGAGGGGCCUUCUUCCCCAACUCCGUCCGCCCCGAUCGGCUUCGGGAUCCGGCCAUUCCUGAGCUGGGUAAGUCGUGGUAGGACCUCCAGAAGCUUCCAUUCGCACCCAGGAGCCCUUCUCCUCCUAACCCCUCGUCCAGUUAAUCUUAGGAACUUCUCUGUCGUCAAAUCCCCAUCUCACCGGAGCUGCCGUCCGCCGGAGUCUUGCUGCCGUCGACGUGGAGCUUCCCCCUCAGCCAAAACCACCUCCAACAGAAAGGUGGGUCGAAGGUAAGUGCAGCCGCACCCUCAGCCAGCCCUCUCCUCGCUCCUAUCGACCCACUGUAUUUUUUUUAGCACCGACGAUUUUAUUUAGUUUCAGAAAAAGCAUUGAUUUUCAAACGCCCAUAAAACUUUAACCCUGAGUCGGAUCGCAACAAGUUAUAUAUGUAACUUCGCUAGAAUUUUGCGUAGAUUAAUAAUUUCCAUCUCUCAUGCAUGUUUAAGGCUGUUAGCUGUGCUGUUUGCAUCGGUUUACAUGUUGACGUGAUUGAAACGGUUUAUGUCGUAAUUAUUAACCGUAGCUCCGUUGGNGAUGAGCUAUAUAUGUAAUGGUNNNNNNNNNNNNNNNNNNNNNNNNNNNNNNNNNNNNNNNNNNNNNNNNNNNNNNNNNNNNNNNNNNNNNNNNNNNNNNNNNNNNNNNNNNNNNNNNNNNNAACGAGUGGGGUCAGUUCGGAGACGCUAUAUGUCGUUUCCGACCUCAUUUAAAAUGCCUAGAUAGGUAGUUUAAUUUGUGUUUCACCUCCUGCCAUGUUUAACAACAUUUUAAUAUUUCCAUGUUAAUAAAUGGAAGUGAACUAAAUAAUUAAAUGUGGAGUUCCGUCAAUAUGCAACUCGUUGCAUAUUGAGCUUCACUUAAUGUGUAGUGUUUGCCUGCAGAUUCAGCUUAGUCCAAUGCGCUUAUUAUUGUUCACAUCGUUCGAUCGUGCAAAUGAAAGGCAAGAAUGAUGAUAUAUGAUGAAGUGACUGAGACUGAAAAGCUGGUAUGAACUCUAUCUAUUUUGUUUUUGUAAAUAUGACUAGCUUGUCGACCCAGAUUUAGCUUUGUUGUGAGAGAACCAUGUUUAUGAUGACAACUUAGAGAUCRAUAGUUUCUGAUGCCAUGCUUAACUAGCUGAGAGCUUAUAAUGGUUUGUCUUGAUUGUCAACAUUAGAUUUUGAGAUGACUAUGAUGUAGUAUGAUAGGAUCGGUAUUCCUCUUGUGCCUUGGUGACAUGAGCCUCUUUUCUUCUUCCUAGACACCAAACCCAAGUUAGCCAAAUGGAAUUUGUGCUGAUCUCCUAUAUUACCCCACAAAAAAUGGGCCAUCUGGGAAUUGAUGGCAUUGAUAGCCCAUUUAGGAAACUUCACAAUCGCCAUAAGGUAAGCAGGAAUGCUCACAAUACAAGCACAAAGUAAUAUAAUCUUGCCCUAAAANNNNNNNNNNNNNNNNNNNNNNNNNNNNNNNNNNNNNNNNNNNNNNNNNNNNNNNNNNNNNNNNNNNNNNNNNNNNNNNNNNNNNNNNNNNNNNNNNNNNACCACGGCUUACCCAGCUUAGGAAUGGACGGAUCCCGAAGCGGAUCGGGGCGGCCGAUGUUGGGGAAGAAGGCACCUCGAGGACUCCUUCCUGGAUCGAGUGGUGCUGUGGAGUGAAGCACGGGUGUGGAGAGGAGCGGGAUGAACUCCGAAGCUCGGGGGAGAGGCUCUAUAUAUAGGCGUCGUGGGAGGAGCUUCGACAUUUACUCCGGCAAGCGAUUCCGGUGAGGCAGGGGCUCGAGCAGGCGAUUAGGUGGUGCGGGUAGUACCUAACCACCAUGGGGUCUCAUUUUUGACCAGAGACGGGCUGGUCAUCGACGGAGGGAGCGUGGUGACAACGCGGCUCUUGCUCUACGCAGUGGCGGCAGAAAAUGCGCUCUGAGCAGCUCGGUGCAUGGCGACGGCUUUCGCGGCAUGCACUGGCGAUGGAGGACACGCGGAGGCUGCAGAGCCGUUGGACAGUGUCGGGCGACGCGGGGCUACAACAGAGGAGGUGUUGCGGCUGAUGUAGGGCCGCUAUCGGAGUUUGGCCGUCUCUGCCAGCUUGCCACCAACACUGGGAUGCCUCCAAGCUUCCACUCGGUAGAACAUCAUCAUGAGCUCAAUGUGACUAAGGAGUUAGUGACACGAUGACGUGCUACGGAACGAGUCAAGAGACUUACCGGUAACUUGAUUGAACAAGGUAUAGGUAUACCGACGGUCGAAUCUCGGGCAAGUUCUAUACCGACAGACAAAGGGAAUUGUAUACGGGAUUCAUUGAAUCCUUGACAUCGUGGUUCAUCCGAUGAGAUCAUUGUGGAGCAAGUGGGAGCCACCAUGGGUAUCCAGACCUCGCUGAUGGUUAUUGUCNNNNNNNNNNNNNNNNNNNNNNNNNNNNNNNNNNNNNNNNNNNNNNNNNNNNNNNNNNNNNNNNNNNNNNNNNNNNNNNNNNNNNNNNNNNNNNNNNNNNCCUCCUAUAACAUUGANACCCNGUUUGGGACUUGGCUAAAUGAUUCAGAACCUAAGUUAGCGGUGCAUAUUCGAGUCAGAGUAUGUGCAUUACCUUGGGCCAUAUGGAACUAUCGGAAUGUCGUCAUUUUUACCAGGACAAUAGCUACAAUUCAUCAAUGUAAUGUAUUAUGUGCUUACAAUAAGAAUUUGCAUGGCAUCUUUUGUCCUACUCUCCCGUGGCAGUGGGGUCCAAAGGGAAACUAAGGGAUAUUAAGGCCUCCUUUUAAUAGAGAACCAGAAAAAACAUUAGCACAUGGUGAAUUCAUGAACUCCUCAUACUACGGUCAUCAUCGGAGAGGAUCCCAACUAUUUUCACUCUCGGCCCUACGGAUCAUAACACAUAAUAUGUGCAUACAACUUGCAAAAUAGGAUCUAAAUACUAUUAUAUUCAUGGAAACGUAAUAGGUUCAAAUCUGAAAUCAUGGCCCUCGGGCCCCGUGGUCGAACACGACUAAACUUAAACUAAGUACGAACGUAAACGUACUAAGUACGAACCAAACUACUACUAACUUCCUACGAAACGAAACUAAGUUAGGUAGGUAACUUAACGGGUAAGGGUACUAACGAACCGUAACCCCUAAAACUAAANNNNNNNNNNNNNNNNNNNNNNNNNNNNNNNNNNNNNNNNNNNNNNNNNNNNNNNNNNNNNNNNNNNNNNNNNNNNNNNNNNNNNNNNNNNNNNNNNNNNAGAUCUGAGAUUGGGGGUGGCAGAGCCGUGUUGGCCCCACAAGCUUGCCCACCGCCACCAGGGGGGUGGUGGCGGUGGCAGGGCUUGUGGCCCACUGGCCCACCCCCUCAGGUGGAUCUAAGCGCAUGUAUUUUUCAUAUUUUCCAAAAAUGUUCCCCGUAAAUUUUCAGGACGUUUGGAGAACUUUGAUUUCUGCACAAAAAUAACACCAAGGUAAUUCUGCUGAAAACAGCGUCAGUCCAGGUUAGUUCCAUUCAAAUCAUGCAAAUUAGAGUCCAAAACAAGGGCAAAAGAGUUUGGAAAAGUAGAUACGAUGGAGAUGUAUCAACCAACUCCAUGCAGCCUCACGCUCAGCUGCUGCUUUCUUGUCCUCCUCGGUCUCAUCGCCGAACAGAUCCAUGUCAUCAUCAUCAUCUUCAUCCUGCAAGAAGGUCAAACACAUAAUGACAAAACAAAAAUUAUAUUCGAAUUACAAAAGAGAUCUAUGACGAUUGACAUAAACGAGACANNNNNNNNNNNNNNNNNNNNNNNNNNNNNNNNNNNNNNNNNNNNNNNNNNNNNNNNNNNNNNNNNNNNNNNNNNNNNNNNNNNNNNNNNNNNNNNNNNNNGCUUUUUCUUGAAACUAAAAUAAAAAUACGUCGGUUGCUAAAAAAAAAUAACAAGUGGGUCGGAAACUAACAAUGGGUGAAAUCACAGUAUGGCGCGGGAUAGUAAAAAUGCGCCUAGGGCGAGGGAGAGGGGCAACUGGAGGCUCACCUUGGGCCUUUUGGGCCUAAUCUGGAGGGGGGCGGAGCUGGGCCGGCUCGGCUAGGGGUGCGAGGUGGGCCGAAGGGGCGCUGCGCUGGGCCGCGGGAUGGAGUUGGUUGAUACAUCUCCAUCGUAUCUACUUUUCCAAACUCUUUUGCCCUUGUUUUGGACUCUAAUUUGCAUGAUUUGAAUGGACCCAAGCCUGAGACUGAGUGCUUCUAUUGCAAGGGAAAAGGUCACUGGAAGCGGAACUGCCCCAAAUACUUAGCGGACAAGAAGGCCGGCAACGUUAAAGGUAUAUGUGAUAUACAUGUUAUUGAUGUGUACCUUACCAGCGCUCGUAGUAGCUCCUGGUAUUUGAUACCAGUGCUGUUGCUCACNNNNNNNNNNNNNNNNNNNNNNNNNNNNNNNNNNNNNNNNNNNNNNNNNNNNNNNNNNNNNNNNNNNNNNNNNNNNNNNNNNNNNNNNNNNNNNNNNNNNCAGGCAAGCUUGGAAAUGUCACCUUUCGAAGCCUUAUAUGGAAGAAGAUGUCAAACUCCUCUAAAUUGGUCAGAAAUCGAAGAUAGCCGCAUCUUCGGCCCGCAACUACUUAAAGAGGAAGAGGACAAGGGGGAGUUGAUACGUCCAUUUUGCAUCAUGUUUUCAUGUUGAUAUUUAUCGCUUCUUUGGCUGUUAUUUCACUUCACGGUACAAUUCUUAUGCCUUUUAUCUCUUAUUUUGCAAGGUUUACAUGAAGAGGGAGAAUACCGGCAACUGGAAUUCUGGCCUGAAAGUGGAGCAAAGUUGAGAUACCUAUUCUGCGCAACUCCAAACGCCGUGAAAAUCAACGGGGAUUAUUUUCCCAAUUUAUAAAAAAUAUUGGGCCGAAGAAGUGCCAGAGGGGCACCAAGGGGUGCCCACAAGCCUGCACGGCGCGGCCACCCCCCCACGGCCGCGCCAUGGGGGCUUGUGGGCAGCCCACUGGCCCACUGGCCCCCCUCUUUUGCUAUAUGGAGGGUUUCGUCCAGAAAAAAAAAAUCAAGGAGGAGCYKWKUCGUGGAUUCACCGCCGCCACGAGGCGGAACUUGAGCAUAGAUCGAGACGCCUCAUAGGUCUUUCGCAAAGUACAUACCUUGACAAGAUAUUGAAGAAGUUCAAUAUGGAAAACUCAAAGAAAGGGUUCUUGCCAGUUUUGCAAGGUAUGAGAUUGAGUAAGACUCAGUCGCCGACCACGGCAGCAAAUAGAGAGAAGAUGAGUUCUGUCCCCUAUGCUUCAGCCGUGGGCUCUCUAAUGYRWGMCAUGCUAUGUACCAGACCUGAUAUAAACCUUGCCAUAAGUUUGGUAGGGAGGUACCAAAGUGAUCCCGGUACGGAACACUGGACAGCGGUCAAGAAUAUCCUUAAGUACCUGAAGAGGACUAAGGAGAUGUUUCUCAUUUAUGGAGGUGACGAAGAGCUCAUCGGUAAAGGGUUACGUCGACGCUAGCNNNNNNNNNNNNNNNNNNNNNNNNNNNNNNNNNNNNNNNNNNNNNNNNNNNNNNNNNNNNNNNNNNNNNNNNNNNNNNNNNNNNNNNNNNNNNNNNNNNNUAUAUAGCUCGCAAGCUCGAAUACAUCGGGGGAGAGACAAAAGCAAAAGACUCAAACUAAAUACUAAACACUUAUUCCUCUAAGAGCAGAAAUAAAAACUGAAAAGGAAAGAACUAAAACAAAGGUAAAAGAAAAAGAUAAAAAGGUGAUACGAUACCAGGGCAACUCCCCCAAGCUUGGCAGAAGCCAAGGGGAUUGCCCAUACCAAUGCUUAGUUGUCUUCCUUUGGCGGUGAUGGUGGUGGAGUUGUUGCCUUUGAUUCCAAGAGAGCUAUCAGUCUUUGAUUUAUACCUUUGAGAUCUGUGACAUGGUUUUCCAACAAAACAACCUCACGAGAAAGGGAAAUAUUGCGAGCACGAGUUGUUUCGCAAAACCUCAAGAGUUCAAUCAAGGAUGGAGAUGGCACGUGGAGGAAGGGUUGGAGAAAUAUACUCCUUCUACUUCUUCAAUGUUGACAUAGGUUGAACUUCCUCCUUAGCUUGGGUUUUCUCCUUAGCUUGGUCCCUGGCUUCCGUGACUUCUACUCUUUUCAAAUCAGCAUCUACUUCUUCANNNNNNNNNNNNNNNNNNNNNNNNNNNNNNNNNNNNNNNNNNNNNNNNNNNNNNNNNNNNNNNNNNNNNNNNNNNNNNNNNNNNNNNNNNNNNNNNNNNNUCCGCUUUGGGUUCGAGAUUUUCUGGUUGAAGUUUCUUCACAUAAGCAUCGCAACCCCAAACUUUAAGAAACGACAACUUAGGUUUCUUGCCAAACCAUAGUUCAUACGGUGUCAUCUCAACGGAUUUAGACGGUGCCCUAUUUAAAGUGAAUGCUGCAGUUUCUAAUGCGUAUCCCCAAAAUGAUAGCGGUAAGUCGGUGAGAGACAUCAUAGAUCGUACCAUAUCUAAUAAAGUAGCGAUUACGACGUUCAGACACUCCGUUGCGCUGUGGUGUGCCAGGCGGCGUCAGUUGUGAAACGAYUCCACACUUYCUUAGGUGUGUGSCAAACUMGUGACUCAAAUAUUCUCCUCCACGAUCAGAUCGUAGACAYUUAAUUUUUCUGUCACGUUGAUUCUCGACCUCACUCUGAAAUUCCUUGAACUUUUCAAACGUCUCAGAUUUGUGCUUCAUUAAGUAGAUAUACCUACUCAAAUCAUCAGUGAGAGUGAGAACAUAACGAUAGCCACCGCGAGCUUCAACGUUCAUUGGACCACACACAUCAGUAUGUAUUAUUUCCAAUAAGUCGGUCGCUCUCUCCAUUAUUCCUGAGAAUGGAGUCUUAGUCAUCUUUCCCAUGAGGCACGGUUCGCAUGUGUCAAAUGAUUCAAAGUCAAGAGACUCUAAUAGUNNNNNNNNNNNNNNNNNNNNNNNNNNNNNNNNNNNNNNNNNNNNNNNNNNNNNNNNNNNNNNNNNNNNNNNNNNNNNNNNNNNNNNNNNNNNNNNNNNNNAACCUUUUGUGUUCUACUCGUGCAUAGAAUGUACGCAUAGAAAACCUGGCUCGGAUGCCAUGUUGGGUAACGUAGCAUAAAUUCAAAAUUUUCCUACGCCAUAUUCAGAUCUUCCGAUGGAGAGACCAGCAACGAGAGAGGGGUGAGUGCAUCUUCAUACCUUUGAAGAUCACUAAGCGGAAGCGUUGCUAGAACGCGGUUGAUGGAGUCGUACUCGCAGCGAUUCCGAUCUAGCGCCGAACAACGACACCUCCGCGUUCAACACACGUGCAGCCCGGUGACGUCUCCCGCACCUUGAUCCAGCAAGGAGGAGGGAGAGGUUGGGGAAGAACUCUAGCAACACGACGGCAUGGUGUCGAUGGAGAGACGAGGUCUCCCGGCAGGGCUUCGCCAAGCACCGGCAGAGAGGAGGAGGAAGAAGAGCAGGGCUGCGCCGAGAGACAGGGAAAAACCGUGUCUGUCAAUGGCCAAAAGUGCCCGAUAUAUAUAGGGGAAGGGGAGAGGGGGUGCCACCCCUAGGGUUCCCACCCUAGGGGGUGCGGAAGCCCCCCCAGAUGGGAGGUGCGGCGGCCGAGAGGGGGGAGGAGGGGGUGGCGCACCAUCUGGUGGGCCUUAGGCCCACCUGGCCUAGGGUUUGCCCCCCCCCYUUUYCUCUCCCUUGCGCAUUAGGCUGAGUGGGGAGGCGCACCAGCCCACCUAGGGGCUGGUUCCCACCCCCACUUGGCUCACCUUAUCUCCCGGGGUCGUUGCCCCCCUUCGGUGGUCCCCCGGGGCCACCUCCGGUGGUCCCGGUGAUCCCGGUACGUUACCGCUGACGCCCGAAACACUUCCGGUAUCCGAAACCAUCCGUCCUAUAUAUCAAUAUUUACCUCCGGACAAUUNNNNNNNNNNNNNNNNNNNNNNNNNNNNNNNNNNNNNNNNNNNNNNNNNNNNNNNNNNNNNNNNNNNNNNNNNNNNNNNNNNNNNNNNNNNNNNNNNNNNCCUAUAUAUCAAUCUUUACCUCUAGACCAUUCCGGAGCUCCUCGUGACGUCCGGGAUCUCAUCCGGGACUCCGAACAACUUUAGGUAACCUUGUAUAACAAUUCCCUAUAACCCUAGCGUCAUCGAACCUUAAGUGUGUAGACCCUACGGGUUCGGGAGACACGCAGACAUGACCGAGACACCUCUCCGGCCAAUAACCAUCAUCAGGGUCUGGAUACCCAUGGUGGCUCCCACUUGCUCCACGAUGAUCUCAUCGGAUGAACCACGAUGUCAAGGAUUCAAUCAAUCCCGUAUACAAUUCCCUUUGUUUGUCGGUAUAGAACUUGCCCGAGAUUCGAUCGUCGGUAUACCUAUACCUUGUUCAAUCUCGUUACCGGCAAGUCUCUUUACUCGUUCCGUAGCACGUCAUCGUGUGACUAACUCCUUAGUCACAUUGAGCUCAUGAUGAUGUUCUACCGAGUGGGCCCAGAGAUACCUCUCCGUCACACGGAGUGACAAAUCCCGAUCUCGAUUCGUACCAACCCAACAGACACUUUCGGAGGUACCCGUAGUGCACCUUUAUAGUCACCUAGUUACGUUGUGACGUUUGAUACACCCAAAGCACUCCUACGGUAUCCGGRRGUUGCACAAUCUCACGGUCGAAGGAAAAGAUACUUGAAAUUAGAAAAGCUUUAGCAUACGAACAAUACGAUCUAGUGCUAUGCUUAGGAUUGGGUCUUGUCCAUCACAUCAUUCUCCCAAUGAUGUGAUCCCGUUAUCAAUGACAUCUAAUGCCCAUGACCAGGAAACCAUGAUCAUCUAUUGACUAACGAGCUAGCCAACUAGAGGCUUGCUAGGGACACAUUGUGAUCUAUUUAUUCACACAUGUAUUACUGNNNNNNNNNNNNNNNNNNNNNNNNNNNNNNNNNNNNNNNNNNNNNNNNNNNNNNNNNNNNNNNNNNNNNNNNNNNNNNNNNNNNNNNNNNNNNNNNNNNNAAUAAUAAAAUGGUGAUUAUCAUAUUUCCUUGUUCAUGAUAAUCAUCUAUUGUUCAUGCUAUAAUUGUAUUAAUAGGAAACAAUAAUACAUGUGUGAAUAAAUAGAUCACAAUGUGUUCCUAGCAAGCCUCUAGUUGGCUAGCUCGUUAGUCAAUAGAUGAUCAUUGGUUUCCUGGUCAGUGGGCAUUAGAUGUCAUUGAAUAACAAGAUCAAAUCAKUKGGAGAAUGAUGUGAUGGAACAACGACCCAAUCCUAAGCAUAGCACUAGAUCGUAUUGUUCGUAUGCUAAAGCUUUUCUAAUGUCAAGUAUCUUUUCCUUCGACCGUGAGAUUGUGCAACUCCCGGAUACCGUAGGAGUGCUUUGGGUGUAUCAAACGUCACAACGUAACUAGGUGACUAUAAAGGUGCACUACGGGUACCUCCGAAAGUGUCUGYUGGGUUGGUACGAAUCGAGAUCGGGAUUUGUCACUCCGUGUGACGGAGAGGUAUCUCUGGGCCCACUCGAUAGAACAUCAUCAUGAUCUCAAUGUGACUAAGGAGUUAGUCACACGAUGACGUGCUACGGAACGAGUAAAGAGACUUACCGGUAACGAGAUUGAACAAGGUAUAGGUAUACCGACGAUCGAAUCUCGGGCAAGUUCUAUACCGACACACAAAGGGAAUUGUAUACGGGAUUGAUUGAAUCCUUGACAUCGUGGUUCAUCCGAUGAGAUCAUCGUGGAGCAAGUGGGAGCCACCAUGGGUAUCCAGACCCUGAUGAUGGUUAUUGGCCGGAGAGGUGUCUCGGUCAUGUCUGCGUGUCUCCCGAACCCGUAGGGUCUACACACUUAAGGUUCGAUGACGCUAGGGUUAUAGGGAAUUGUUAUACAAGGUUACCUAAAGUUGUUCGGAGUCCCGGAUGAGAUCCCGGACGUCACGAGGAGCUCCGGAAUGGUCUAGAGGUAAAGAUUGAUAUAUAGGAUAGAUGGUUUUGGACACCGGAAAUGUUUCGGGCGUCACCGGUAAUNNNNNNNNNNNNNNNNNNNNNNNNNNNNNNNNNNNNNNNNNNNNNNNNNNNNNNNNNNNNNNNNNNNNNNNNNNNNNNNNNNNNNNNNNNNNNNNNNNNNGGUAACCUUGUAUAACAAUUCCCUAUAACCCUAGCGUCAUCGAACCUUAAGWGUGUAGACCCUACGGGUUCGGGAGACAGGCAGACAUGACCGAGACACCUCUCUGGCCAAUAACCAUCAGCGGGGUCUGGAUACCCAUGGUGGCUACCACUUGCUCCACGAUGAUCUCAUCGGAUGAACCACGAUGUCAAGGAUUCAAUCAAUCCCGUAUACGAUUCCCUUUCUCUGUCGGUAUAGAACUUGUCCGAGAUUCGAUCGUCGGUAUACCUAUACCUUGUUGGCGCUACUAGCAGGACAGGCAACUGAGGGCUCACCCGGAGAUGUAGGUCUUGCCGGCGAGGUGCGCCUCGAGGGCCUUGAGCCCGUCGGCGGAGUGGAGGUCGGAGAAGGUGACGGCCAUCGGAUCCGGCGAGCUCGGGAGCUUGUCGAAUUCGCUGGGCGGCGGCGG